UGCAGCAAGGCUCAUUUGUGAUCAAAGAAUCUGUGGGAGCAGCAAAUCCUCCAUGUGGGCAUGGGAGAGAGGAGAGACACACAUCGCCUAUCUCAGAUACACAGCAUUUGCAAAUACCUUCUCUUAAAAGAGAGCAGUGUGCCCUGUCAUUCUAAUUACAAGUCAAUGGGAACUUCAUGGUUACCUUCCCUAAGGCUCCCUUCAGGUACUGGAAAGUGCUCUCCAUCCAUUCCAUGUUUUUCCUAUGUUGGAGGCCCAGGGCUGGGCACAGUACUCAAGUGAAGCCUUCUUGACUGUCUCCUCAUCAUUUUCCAUGUGCUUUAGCAUGGUUUCCAGGAGGAUCAGCUCCAUGAUCUUACUGGACACUGAGGCACUGUUGGACAAACGGUGGUUGUGCUGCUGUGUCAGUGGAUCAUGUUAUGUUUUGGAGACCACAAACUGGUAAGACAACUGAAAACCUUAAAAAGUACUUUGGAGACAGUUCAAGUGAAAAGGAAAUGGGAUUUUAUAUCUCCUGGAUGUUUAUUUUGACCUUUACAUGUUCUUCAACAAACCUGAGAGGUUGCAGCUAGCGGGCAGAAGCAGUCGUGUGAGUGAUGAACUGUCUUGCUUCCAAAUCUUACAAUAAUCAGGAUUCAGUUUCCAGUGUAAUGGUGUUACAGGCAAUUAUCCUGAGAUCCUGUACAUGCUGAUGUUGGCUGGACUUGGCUAAAACCUGGCACACACCCAUUCCCACAGUACCCUUGGCUACAGAGCAGGUUCCGGGACUUGCUCCUGGGGCAGGACCUGCAGGGGCACCAGCCUACCCAUCAUGAAUAACAGGCCAAGAAGUUUUAAAGCCUCCUCUCCAUCCUCAGGGUGUCAGACAAGGAAUCCAGUCUUCUAUUUCUCAUCUGAGCUCCAAACACCCCCAGCUCCAGGAGCUUUGCCAUCUCUGAUACUUCAGCAGAGGAAACACAGAUCAAAUGGGCUAUGACAUCAGUAAACCUCUUUUCCUGGGAAUUUUUGAUGGCAGCGAUAAGGGUAAAGGAAGACCUUCCUUGACAAGAAAGUCAUUUGCUCACUGAAAGGCACAUUAGAAGAUUAAAACCACUGCAAUCUAUGCUUUAAAUAAAAUGCCAGGCUUUCCUUGCAGUCAGUGGUGCAAGAGUUUCACUGUAGGGACAGCUUUGUUUUGGAAAUGAAGGAAGAAUGUCCUUUCAAUGCUUUCUCUGGCUGCUGCCACCUCCCUCCCUUGUCUUAUACCCAGCAUCUCAAAGCUGGUAGCUGUGCACAGAAAUGUUUGAUGCCAUCAAGUAAAUAUUGCCAGGACAGGGUUGCACUAAUGUUAUUG
Passer domesticus (house sparrow) is the source of this 1333-nucleotide long non-coding RNA. RefSeq lists it as uncharacterized. The record is from RefSeq and is a predicted model, not a curated record. The transcript is spliced from 5 exons. NCBI's taxonomy places the organism in Eukaryota, Metazoa, Chordata, Aves, Passeriformes, Passeridae.